This 1475-nucleotide ribosomal RNA is filed under the name uncultured Bordetella sp. Its description in RNAcentral is "partial 16S-23S ribosomal RNA intergenic spacer". It matches the Rfam family "Bacterial small subunit ribosomal RNA". Lineage: Bacteria; Pseudomonadati; Pseudomonadota; Betaproteobacteria; Burkholderiales; Alcaligenaceae. The record is from RNAcentral.
AGUUCGAUCAUGGCUCAGAUUGAACGCUGGCGGGGAUGCCCCCACACAUGGUGCGAACGGCAGCACGGACUUCGGUCUGGUGGCGUGGCGAACGGGUGGUAAUGUAUCGGAACGUGCCCUAGUAGCGGGGGAUAACUACGCAGCGUAGCUAAUACCGCAUACGCCCUUCGAGAAAGCAGAGGACCUUCGGGCCUCGCACUAUUAGAGCGGCCGAUAUCGGAUUAAUAGUUGGUGGGGUAACGGCUCACCAAAGGCGACGAUCCGCUCGCUGGUUUGAGAGGACGACCAGCCACACUGGGACUGAGGCACGGCCCAGACUCCUACGGGAGGCAACGGUGGGGAAUUUUGGACAAUGGGGACUUCUGAUCCAGCCAUCCCGCGUGUGCGAUGAAGGCCUUCCGGGUUGUAAAAGCCCCUUUUGGCGGAAAAGAAACGGCACGGGAUAUCCCCGUGCAACUGACGAUACCUGCAGAAUAAGCACCGGCCUAACUACGUGCCAGCAGCCGCAGUAAUACGUAGGGUGCAAGCGUUAAUCGGAAUUACUGGGCGUAAAGCGUGCGCAGGCGGUUCGGAAAGAAGAUGUGAAAUCCCCAGAGCUUAACUUUGGAAUUUCAUUUUUAACUACCGAGCUGAGUGUGUCAGAGGGAGUGGGAAUUCCGCGAUGUAAGUGAAAUGCGUAGAUAUGCCAGGAGAACGCACCGAUGGCGAAGGCAGCCUGGGAUAACACUGACGCUCAUGCACGAAAGCGUGGGGAGCAAACAGGAUUAGAUACCCUGGUAGUCCACGCCUAAGCGAUGUCCAACUAACUGUUGAGGCCUUCGGGCCUUGAAGUGGCUAUUCUUGCUAUUGAGAUGACCUGCCCGCAAGGAGAGGCGGUCGCAAGACCGACUCAAAGGUGACGGGGACCUUCACUACGGUGGAUGAUGUGGAUUAAUUCGAUGCAACGCGAAAAAUUGCCUCUACCCUUGACAUGUGCAAGAUCCGAAGAGAUUUGGGAGUGCUCGCAAGAGAACGGAACACAGGUGCUGCAUAUGGCUGUCGUCGGCUCGUGUCGUGAGAUGUUGGGAUUCAAAGUCCCGCAACGAGCGCAACCCUUGUCAUUAGUUGCACGAAAGGGCGCUCUAAACAGUGCGGUGACAAACCGGAGGAAGGUGGGGGAUGACGUCAAGUCCUCAUGGCCCUUAUGGGUAGGGCUUCACACGUCAUACAAUGGUCGGGACGGAGAUUCGCCAACCCGCGAGGAGCCAAUCCCAGAAACCGAUCGAAGUCCGGAUCGCAGUCUGCAGCUCGACUGCGUGAAGUCGGAAUCGCUAGUAAUCGCGGAUCAGCAUGUCUCCUUGGUGAAUACGUUCCAGAUACUUGUACACACCGCCCGUCACACCAUGGGAGGAGUAGAUUUCAGAAGGCGUUAGCUAUUAACCGCUAUGGGGAGGGCGAUUACCACAGUGGGAUUCAUGACUGGGGUAUACAGGUAA